GUACUGGCUGGUGAAUGGCUCGGCUCGAGAGCCGAUGACGGACGUGCCAAGCUGCGAAAAGCCUGAGGGAGCCGCACGGAGGCUAAGAACUCAGGAUCUCCGAAUGGGAAUCCCCAUUGCGAUUACGAGGUAUCUCGUAAUCGGGAACGCCCCGAAUUGAAACAUCUUAGUAGGGGCAGGAACAGAAAGCAACCGCGAUAUCGUUAGUAACCGCGAGUGAACACGACACAGUCCAAACCGAAUCCGCAAGGAAAUGUGGUGUUUCGGACCAACAAUCACGGACCGCACGAUACCGAGAAAUCUCCUGGAACGGAGUACGACACAGGGUGACAGUCCCGUAUCGUCAUCACGCGAUCCCGCGUUGACUCCAGAGUCGCAAGGGUUGGCUAUCCCUUGUUAAUUCCGCAGACAUCAACUGCGAAGACUACACACUCCUCGAGACCGAUAGCGAACAAGUAGCGUGAGCGAACGCUGCAAAGCACCCCGAACAGGGCGGUGCAAUAGGGCCUGAACUCAGUCAGUGAUAGAACGACGAGGCAUACAAGGUCCCACUCACAACGACCUGAGAGCAAUCUCACUGUAGAACGAGUGGGAAGCCGAUGUCGCGUCGUACGUUUUGAAAAACGACCCAGGGAGUGCAUCCACCCGGCAAGUCUAACUGGUCUACCCAGGAAGACGCAGGGAAACCGAUAUGACCGCAGUCAUGACAUCCCAUACUCAUGACCAGGGUCACCGUACUUACAUGCGGGGAGUCGCGUGGAUGCGACCCGAAACCGAGUGAUCUACGCGCGGGCAAGGUGAAGCGUGCCGAAAGGUGCGUGGAAGCCUGUUAGGGAUGGUGUCCUACAAUACCCUCCCGUGACCCACGUGUAGGGGUGAAAGGCCCAUCGAACUCGGCAACAGCUGGUUCCAGCCGACACAUAUCGAAGUAUGUCCUCAGCCGAGGUAGUCUGCGAGGUAGAGCUACCGAUUGGAUGUCCCGCCUCCGAGAGGAGUCGGCCAUGCUGUCAAACUCCAAACUUGCAGACGCCGUAGACGCUGGGAAUCCGGACUGCGGGGUAAGCCUGUGGUCCAUGAGGGAGACAACCCAGAGCAGGGUUAAGGUCCCCAAGUGUGGAUUAAGUGCAACUGAAGGUUGUCUCGAGCCCUAAACAGCCGGGAGGUGAGCUUAGAAGCAGCUACCCUCUAAGAAAAGCGUAAUAGCUUACCGGCCGAGGUUCGAGGCGCCCAAAAUGAUCGGGGCUCAAAUCCACCACCGAGACCCUGCAAUACUUAUUAUCAAGUAACUUCGUAGGCUUGGCGUACUGACCGGAUGGAAGUACGGGCGAGAGCUCGUAUGGACCGCUCAGUAACGAUAAUCCUGGUCACAGUAGCAGCAAUAGUCGGGUGUGACCCCCGACGGCCUAACGAGCAAGGGUUCCUCGGCACUGCUAAUCAGCCGAGGGUUAGCCGGUCCUAAGUCUGACCGUAAUUCGACUCAGACAAACAGGGAAACUGGUUAAUAUUCCAGUGCCGUCGUGUCUUAUCGAACGCUUUCGGAAACAGUGAACGGGGCCAUCGCCCCGUCGAAUCAUGGAAUCUCGUGGAUGCCGUAACGGCACGAAGCGGGAGAAUCAUGAGACCGCGCAAGUCACUGGUACCAAGAGCCCGUGAAACAAACACACGACGUCCGUACCAAGAUCCGACACAGGUGCUCAGGCAGCGAAAGCCAUGGCCCGUCGGGACCAACCGGCGUUAGGGAAUUCGGCAAGUUAGUCCCGUACCUUCGGAAGAAGGGAUGCCUGCUCUUGACCGAGCAGGUCGCAGUGACUCGGACGCUCCGACUGUCUAGUAACAACAUAGGUGACCGCAAAUCCGCAAGGACUCGUACGGUCACUGAAUCCUGCCCAGUGCAGGUAUCUGAACACCUCGUACAAGAGGACGAAGGACCUGUUAACGGCGGGGGUAACUAUGACCCUCUUAAGGUAGCGUAGUACCUUGCCGCUUCAGUAGCGGCUUGCAUGAAUGGAUCAACGAGAGCG
This 2021-nucleotide ribosomal RNA is filed under the name saltern metagenome. RNAcentral's name for it is "bacterial LSU rRNA". It matches the Rfam family "Archaeal large subunit ribosomal RNA", at positions 16 to 2089 of the family's 2987-position model. The record is from RNAcentral.